Molecule: ribosomal RNA, 301 nt
Filed under: uncultured bacterium
Lineage: Bacteria
Description: partial 16S ribosomal RNA
Rfam family: Bacterial small subunit ribosomal RNA
Source: RNAcentral
CAGCCGCCGCGGGAAUACGAAGGGGGCUAGCGUUGUUCGGAAUUACUGGGCGCAAAGCGCACGUAGGCGGAUAUUUAAGUCAGGGGUGAAAUCCCAGAGCUCAACUCUGGAACUGCCUUUGAUACUGGGUAUCUUGAGUAUGGAAGAGGUUAGUGGAAUUGCGAGUGUAGAGGUGAAAUUCGUAGAUAUUCGCAGGAACACCAGUGGCGAAGGCGGCUAACUGGUCCAUUACUGACGCUGAGGUGCGAAAGCGUGGGGAGCAAACAGGAUUAGAUACCCCUGUAGUCCCUGUCUCUUAUAC